This 1643-nucleotide ribosomal RNA is filed under the name Escherichia coli. RNAcentral's name for it is "partial 23S ribosomal RNA". It matches the Rfam family "Bacterial large subunit ribosomal RNA", at positions 1292 to 2915 of the family's 2925-position model. The record is from RNAcentral. Lineage: Bacteria; Pseudomonadati; Pseudomonadota; Gammaproteobacteria; Enterobacterales; Enterobacteriaceae.
GAAUGCUGACAUAAGUAACGAUAAAGCGGGUGAAAAGCCCGCUCGCCGGAAGACCAAGGGUUCCUGUCCAACGUUAAUCGGGGCAGGGUGAGUCGACCCCUAAGGCGAGGCCGAAAGGCGUAGUCGAUGGGAAACAGGUUAAUAUUCCUGUACUUGGUGUUACUGCGAAGGGGGGACGGAGAAGGCUAUGUUGGCCGGGCGACGGUUGUCCCGGUUUAAGCGUGUAGGCUGGUUUUCCAGGCAAAUCCGGAAAAUCAAGGCUGAGGCGUGAUGACGAGGCACUACGGUGCUGAAGCAACAAAUGCCCUGCUUCCAGGAAAAGCCUCUAAGCAUCAGGUAACAUCAAAUCGUACCCCAAACCGACACAGGUGGUCAGGUAGAGAAUACCAAGGCGCUUGAGAGAACUCGGGUGAAGGAACUAGGCAAAAUGGUGCCGUAACUUCGGGAGAAGGCACGCUGAUAUGUAGGUGAAGCGACUUGCUCGUGGAGCUGAAAUCAGUCGAAGAUACCAGCUGGCUGCAACUGUUUAUUAAAAACACAGCACUGUGCAAACACGAAAGUGGACGUAUACGGUGUGACGCCUGCCCGGUGCCGGAAGGUUAAUUGAUGGGGUUAGCGCAAGCGAAGCUCUUGAUCGAAGCCCCGGUAAACGGCGGCCGUAACUAUAACGGUCCUAAGGUAGCGAAAUUCCUUGUCGGGUAAGUUCCGACCUGCACGAAUGGCGUAAUGAUGGCCAGGCUGUCUCCACCCGAGACUCAGUGAAAUUGAACUCGCUGUGAAGAUGCAGUGUACCCGCGGCAAGACGGAAAGACCCCGUGAACCUUUACUAUAGCUUGACACUGAACAUUGAGCCUUGAUGUGUAGGAUAGGUGGGAGGCUUUGAAGUGUGGACGCCAGUCUGCAUGGAGCCGACCUUGAAAUACCACCCUUUAAUGUUUGAUGUUCUAACGUUGGCCCGUUAUCCGGGUUGCGGACAGUGUCUGGUGGGUAGUUUGACUGGGGCGGUCUCCUCCUAAAGAGUAACGGAGGAGCACGAAGGUUGGCUAAUCCUGGUCGGACAUCAGGAGGUUAGUGCAAUGGCAUAAGCCAGCUUGACUGCGAGCGUGACGGCGCGAGCAGGUGCGAAAGCAGGUCAUAGUGAUCCGGUGGUUCUGAAUGGAAGGGCCAUCGCUCAACGGAUAAAAGGUACUCCGGGGAUAACAGGCUGAUACCGCCCAAGAGUUCAUAUCGACGGCGGUGUUUGGCACCUCGAUGUCGGCUCAUCACAUCCUGGGGCUGAAGUAGGUCCCAAGGGUAUGGCUGUUCGCCAUUUAAAGUGGUACGCGAGCUGGGUUUAGAACGUCGUGAGACAGUUCGGUCCCUAUCUGCCGUGGGCGCUGGAGAACUGAGGGGGGCUGCUCCUAGUACGAGAGGACCGGAGUGGACGCAUCACUGGUGUUCGGGUUGUCAUGCCAAUGGCACUGCCCGGUAGCUAAAUGCGGAAGAGAUAAGUGCUGAAAGCAUCUAAGCACGAAACUUGCCCCGAGAUGAGUUCUCCCUGACUCCCUGAGAGUCCUGAAGGAACGUUGAAGACGACGACGUUGAUAGGCCGGGUGUGUAAGCGCAGCGAUGCGUUGAGCUAACCGGUACUAAUGAACCGUGAG